Molecule: ribosomal RNA, 468 nt
Filed under: uncultured bacterium
Lineage: Bacteria
Description: partial 16S ribosomal RNA
Rfam family: Bacterial small subunit ribosomal RNA
Source: RNAcentral
GACGAACGCUGGCGGCGUGCUUAACACAUGCAAGUCGAACGGAAAGGCCCUGCUUUUGUGGGGUUCUCGAUUGGCGAACGGGUGAGUAACACGUUAGUAACCUGCCCUUGACUUUGGGAUAACUUCAGGAAACUGGGGCUAAUACCUGAUAGGAUCUCCUGCUGCAUUGUGGGGUUUGGAAAGUUUCGGCGGUUGGGGAUGUUCUCGCGGCUUAUCAGCUUGUUGGUGGGGUAGUGGCUUACCAAGGCUUUGACGGGUAGCCGGCCUGAGAGGGUGACCGGACAAAUGGGGACUGAGAUACGGCACAGAAUACUACGGGAGGCAGGAGUGGGGAAGAGUGCACAAUGGGAGGAAGCCUGAUGAAGCAAAGCCGCGUGCGGGAUGACGGCCUUCGGGUUGUAAACCGAUUUCGCAUGUGACGAAGCGUGAGUGACGGUAAUGGGUAAAGAAGCACCGGCUAACUACGUG